RNAcentral lists this unclassified non-coding RNA (282 nucleotides) under Hevea brasiliensis (rubber tree). The record is from RNAcentral. Lineage: Eukaryota; Viridiplantae; Streptophyta; Magnoliopsida; Malpighiales; Euphorbiaceae.
AAUGGUGCAAUUAAAAUUCAUAAAAUAAGAAUUCAUUACAUUUGACAGAAAUAUAUAUUCUCCUGCAAUAAAGAUAGAACAAGUGUGUUCAAUCCACCCAAAGUCACAAAGUCUGAUUCAAAGUACUUGAAUGAGGCUAUUGAAUCCAAGGGUUUAAACAUGACAUUAGGCAAAAGGACUUAAAAUUUAUCAUUAUUAGAGUCACAAGGAUUUUAACCAGAAUCUAAUAUCACUGUUGGUGAUUCAAAGUAAAAUUUUAAAGAAAAUAGUAGUGGAUCAAAU